Equus caballus (horse) is the source of this 529-nucleotide non-coding RNA. NCBI's taxonomy places the organism in Eukaryota, Metazoa, Chordata, Mammalia, Perissodactyla, Equidae. The record is from RefSeq and is a predicted model, not a curated record.
GAAGACUGAGGCUUUCUCUAUAGCUUUCCUCCUCUCCUCUGAGCCACCGUGAGAAUCAUCCUUAACAGUCCAUUUGUGACAAUGUAGGAGCUCUCUAGCAUACACCCUGAAACUUCCUGAGUCUGCCUGUUACCCGGUUUCGGAGCUGCUUCCACAUUUUUAGUCAACACCAUCCAAGAUAGACCCUAUAUGUCCUGGACUGACAGGUUAUUACUCGUACUUGACAGGCAUCUAGAAUCUAACACGGAAAUGAGGACAACUCUCUCAGGAGUAGAAGAAAGAUGGAAGAAUCUGGAAUUCUAAAUAAUGUGAGCCAUAUCCACCUUUCCAGGCUAGAACACUUUCUUCCAGACUACUAUGUGGCAGAAAUUAUGACAUACAUGUUACCAGAAUCGAUAUAAUUUUUAACAAAAUUUUGUAUUUUGGGAUAAUUGAAGACUCGUAUACGAUUGUUAAGAAAUAAUACAGAGAAAUCUCAUAUAUCCUUUACCCAGUUGCACCAAUAGUAAUAUCUUGCAAAACUAUAGUA